Molecule: long non-coding RNA, 647 nt
Organism: Lolium rigidum
Lineage: Eukaryota; Viridiplantae; Streptophyta; Magnoliopsida; Poales; Poaceae
Exons: 4
Source: RefSeq, a predicted model, not a curated record
GGUGAUGGUUCCAGUCAUGCUCAAAAUGCCGCAGGUUAGCCACUGUGUAUGGAUCAGAGUACAUAUGCAAUGGAGGAUGUGGUUUCGACCAAGGCUUAUAUCCAAUGGAUUUGGCUUGUGACAGAGUCUGCCUUCAUUUCCUCCCAGUUAAUCGUCUCGUGUAUGGCAAUGAUCCCAACAACUCUUGAUAUCAAAUGACUGUUGUAACCCUUCUCUUGUAGAUAACAGAUGUAGUGUCAAGCUGCUUGUCACCAAGGCCCUUCUCUUGUAGACAACAGAUCGUAGUGUCAAGCUGCUUGUCACCAAGGCCCACCGCGGUGACCUCGACGAUGCAUACAAAGGUACCUCCUUGGUCGCGCUUGAGUUGAUUGCAACAUUUAUUUUCAUAUGAGGUGCAUAAUCUUGUUCUCCAUUUGUUUGUUUGGUGCUUACACAAAUUUGAUUGCCUCACGCUUAUUUUAAUUGGAAGACUAGGAGUGAAUGAUUAAUAAGUGGUUUUGUUCAAGGUUCUUUUGGGCUGCACUUCAAUGUGUUAGCUAGUUUUUGGUUUGUAAGGCCAAGUUUGUGCUAGUUACUGCAAACUUGCAAUGGAGCCGUGGCUGCUCGAUCUUGUAGCAAUGGAAAUCAUGGCUGCUGGAUCCGAUCAA